UGAUUUAUUAGCUCCAAUUCUAAUUAUAUUGUACUAUAUUGUAUUAUAGUGUGUUAUUUUGCAUUCUGAUAUCUUACUUAGUAAAAUAGUUCAUUUCUCCUCAGAUCGUUGCUGCUGUUUUGGUUUUGGGCCCAUCUCUCUACUGUUCUCCUUGUUUCCCUUUUCUUGGGCGCAGAUCCAUGGGUCCCUCUGCCCUACUCAUCACAGAACUGGGCCAAACCAGCCCAUACACUGUUGAUAGUCACAUCACUCGCAUUGAUAAGAAGGGGAGCAAGGAGGACUUGGGGAACUGCAGUCCGGUGAGUCUCACCUCUGUGCCUGGGAAGAUCAUGGAGCAGAUCUUCCUAUAAGCUAUGUUAAGGCACAUACAAGAUAAAGAGGUGAUUCAAGACAACCAGCAUGGCUUCAGCCUGGAGAAGAGAAGUCUGCGGGGUGACCUCACUGCCACUUUCCAGUACCGAAAGGGUAGAUAAUGGCAGAACAAGGGGAAAUGAUUUUACGUUGAAGGAGGGAAGAUUUAGGUUGGGUGUCAGGGGUAAGUUCUUUACAGAGAGAGUGGUGAGGUGCUGGAACAGGCUGCCCAGAUGGUUGUGGAUGCCCCGUCUCUGGAGAUGUUCAGGGCCAAGUUGGAUGGGGCCCUGGGCAGCCUAGUCAAGUAUUAGAUGUGGAGGGUGGCAGAGCCAGUGCACUGGAGUGAGUCCAGAGAAGGGCAAUGAGGAGCAGCUGAGGGAGCUGGGGUUUUUCAGUCUGGAGAAGAGGUGGCUUAGGGGAGAUUUUUUAGCAAUCUACAUCUGCCUGAAAGGAGAUUGUGGCAAGCUGGGGGUUGGCCUCUUCUCCUGUCUAACUAGUGAUAGGAUGAGAGGAAAUGGCCUCAAGUUGUACCAGGGGAGGUUUAGGUUGGAUAUCAGGAAAAACUUCUUUACAGAAAGGGUUGUUAAGCACUGGAAUAGGCUCCCCAGGGAGGUGGUUGAGUCACCAUCCCUGGAUGUGUUUAAAAACCGUUUGGAUGUGGUGCUCAGGGACAUGAUGUAGCAGAGGGUUGUUAGAGUUAGGGUAGUAUGGUUAGGUUGUGGUUGGACUUGAUGAUCUUUAAGGUCUUUUCCAACCUGAGCAAUUCUAUGAUUCUGUGAUUCUAUGAUUCUAUGAUUCUAUGAUUCUAUGUUAUAUAUUAAUCUACAACAUUUAUAUAAGUUGUAGUCCAAAAUAACUCAAUUUCAUUUAAAAACUUCAGAGAACAUGAAAUCUUCAACAUUUCUG
This 1257-nucleotide long non-coding RNA is filed under the name Gallus gallus (chicken). Its description in RNAcentral is "lncRNA (ENSGALG00010000944.1)". The record is from RNAcentral. Lineage: Eukaryota; Metazoa; Chordata; Aves; Galliformes; Phasianidae.